GACGAACGCUGGCGGCGUGCCUAAUACAUGCAAGUCGAACGCAGUGGGGACGGGUGAGUAACACGUGGGUAACCUCCCAUCAGAGGGGAUAACACUUGGAAACAGGUGCUAAACCGAUACUGAUUGAUGGACCCGCGGUGCAUUAGCUAGUUGGUGAGGUAACGGCUCACCAAGGCCACGAUGCAUAGCCGACCGGAUAGGGUGAUCGGUCCCACUGGGACUGAGACACGGCCAAGACUCAAACGGGAGGCAGCAGUAGGGAAUCUUCGGCAAUGGACGAAAGGCUGACCGAGCAACGCCGCGUGAGUGAAGAAGGUUUGCGGAUCGUAAAACUCUGUUGUUAGAGAAGCGGUAUCUAACCAGAAAGCCAAGGAUAACUACGUGCCAGCCGACGCGGUAAUUC
This 403-nucleotide ribosomal RNA is filed under the name uncultured bacterium. RNAcentral's name for it is "partial 16S ribosomal RNA". It matches the Rfam family "Bacterial small subunit ribosomal RNA", at positions 28 to 526 of the family's 1533-position model. The record is from RNAcentral.